RNAcentral lists this transfer RNA (96 nucleotides) under Bifidobacteriaceae bacterium MCC02030. RNAcentral's name for it is "tRNA-Gln". The record is from RNAcentral. Lineage: Bacteria; Bacillati; Actinomycetota; Actinomycetes; Bifidobacteriales; Bifidobacteriaceae.
AACUGAGCUUGGAUAAGCUCGGAAGCCCCAUGGAUUUGAACCUUGGACCUCUGGUGUCCCCAGAGGUCCAUGGUUCAAAUCCAUGCCCCGCUACCA